CCAAAAAAAUUCCUUUACUACUCCCAAUACCUCAACCCAGUGGAAAAAAAACCCAUUCGCCAUUUAAUGCAAGCAAUAGCCUGCACACAAGAGGGAGCAGCACAAUGUCCGUUGAACUCAAGCCAAAAAUGUGGCAAACAUUUUUAGGAGACGAAAACAAUCACGGGACAAUACUUUUGUACUCUAAUGGGUGUUUUUAGGCCACCAAAAAAUACUUUGAAGCAAGGGUGUCAAAUUCAGUUUUGUCACGGGCCAUAUUGUCGUCACUGUUUUGACAGUACAAAAUUGAAAAUUCACCAGCCAUGCUGGAAACAAUGCAAACAUAAGGAUCCAAAUCUUGCACACACGUUUUUGGGUGGGGAAGGUUCGAUCGGCUCUCUGUGAUGUGCUGGGAUCCCAAAAAGUCCGAUUUUCUACGUGGGACAUUCAUAAGAAGCUGUUGCAUAACGCAGACCGAUACCUUGUCAACGCCUUACAUAACAAGGACGUGGCCCGAAGACUGAAGCGCCGUCGUUGAACCCUUUCAGGCACCCUGUAACCUGAUCACAUGAUUAGCUGUCCACUGUCGUGACCCAGCUGUCCCUGAAAGGGUUAAACAGCGAUCGUCAAUCAUGGACCGUCUCGCAUAAAGAAUGAAAUUGAAGGGGUUCAUGUCUCUACAGGAUCUCAAGGAAGGUCCUCAAGGAGUAAUUACCUUCAACAUGUUUUUGUUUUUUUUAACACUUACUGACAUUCGACACCAGAAAGGUGAGUUGGUUUCGCAUUUUGUUUUUAUCGUGCAGUGGUUUUGCACGUGUUGAGCCAUUCAAAUGUGACUUCACUGUGAAAUUAAUGUGAAAUUAUAACAACAAUUGUCGGCUACAGACGUGACGCACACGCACGCCGGUUGCCGGGCGGAUUUCGAGGCCAGAAAAGGAGAAGACAACGGAAGCAUCUCAAUUGACAAAGAAGCCGUGAAAACAAAGAGCCUCCGUCUUACGACACCCACACGGGACGCGUUGAAUGAAGCGAGGACGCUGGCAGUUAUUUUCAGGUAUUGUGAGAGCGUGCAGGACACAGCUGCUACGUGGGAGGCGCCCGCCGCGUCCCAUCAUGCACUCUGGCUGCACUUUGACCUCUGCAACUCUUUGUUUUUCAAAAUAUCGCAUGCGUGCGUCUGCGCUAAACGUGAGCACGCAGCAAUUAAACGUGCGGCAUGUGGGUUUCAGAUUGGAAAUGAAUAUUUGAUGUACUUUUUCAAAUUUUGUGAUUGUUGUGAAAAUCUGACGUGCUUGAGAAAAAAAACAAACUGGGGGCUGAUUCUGAAUCAGCGCCAAGAAAAAAAACAUCUGGAAAAGUUUACUUGCAUCUCGAAUAACUGUAUUUAUGCCGAAGAAUAAAAAUUAGUUUUAAG
Long non-coding RNA from Hippocampus comes (tiger tail seahorse), 1393 nucleotides. RefSeq lists it as uncharacterized. The transcript is spliced from 3 exons. Lineage: Eukaryota; Metazoa; Chordata; Actinopteri; Syngnathiformes; Syngnathidae. The record is from RefSeq and is a predicted model, not a curated record.